AGCGAGUGUUAAAGGUUAAUGCAACCCGGGAAAACGAGAAUCGUGUUUCAUCAUCAUCUGCGUUUUCGUAUUAGUUAUGAGAGAAACGAAACGCGUUCACGAGAUAGCGGAGCUGCAUUCCACGUGCACGUGCACGUAGCGAAGCGCAUCAUUUCCCAAUCGUUUAUCGCCGUACCUCGCCGAUAUUCCUCGAGCCAAGUUUCUCCGUGGAGCUGUGUGCCAACGUUUCGAGUGGAUUUGAUCGACGUCCCGUUGGUGAUUAGACGCGGCUGCGAUAUUGAGUUUCGCAGUUGGACUGGUGUAACUUUGGAGAGUCCUGUAGUGUUGAGAAUGUCGUGCGGGAGAGUUUGUCGGCGAUGAGGAACAACUCGGUGGUCCUAUGGCUGAUUCAGGUCUCGUAUCGAGUCGAACGCUUUCUUCCGAGACGUUCACGUCCUUCAGGUCUUUCGGGGAUUCUUGAAAGAAAUCGAUUUUUAUUUACCUUCAACGCGUUGCUUCGUAGAAUACAGGAAAAACCAAGAUACCUUCGGAAGAAUUUCUUAUUUCUGAUAUUUCACUACUUCAUAUAAAAGACUAAAAAUGUAGCACGAUUUAUACUGACAUAAUCUUUAAGUAGAAUUUUUAAAUGGUUUUACGUAUGAACGUUUUAUAGAAGAAAUAACAUAGAAACGUAUAUGACAAAGUUAUAUGAAAGCAGCAAAUAAAUGUUCAUUAAAAAACACAGUGAUGAAGAUGGUAAGUUACGUAUUUUCUGCCAUUCUACUUUUAAUAUUAAAACAGGACUAAUUUUUGUCUCUCAUUUUCUUUACUUCUUCCUCUUGUUUAAAACGAGUCAUACGCGUUCUACGUUAUUUAGGUCAGAAUACCAUUUAACGUAGCAUUAAAAAAAAAAGAGAUUGUAAAUAAGGGAAAACCAUAAAUUACCCAACCUAUGUAAAAAUAUCUAAAAGUUUCCACGUGAAAACAUUUUCUAUAAAUAUAUUUACUUGCCAUUAUAAAACAAGUAACGUAUACCUUGCAAUAGUUUUGCAAUGAGGCUUUUGUACGAUGUUGUGUACCUUCAAAAUUGAAGAAAGGUAAUAAAGUAAAUUACUCGAUUCAAGUUUCAAUGGCCACGUGCGUUGCGAAGGGGGAAAAUUUUAUCUGCGUUCCUCGAAAGCAAGAAGCGAAGGAUUUCGUGUUAUAAAACUCACCGGAAGUGGCCACUAUCGCGUACGUAGAUUUAUAUUGUGGGCUGACAAGGGGUGAAUUGAAUUGUUCCAUUGUCAAAGACUCGUGCAUGCUUCCGUCCUCUGGCAUGUCCGGCGAUACGUGAUUGGCAGUCUCUGUCAGCAUUCCACCGGGAGUUAAAUUUAGUAG
RNAcentral lists this unclassified non-coding RNA (1359 nucleotides) under Bombus terrestris (buff-tailed bumblebee). RNAcentral's name for it is "misc RNA ENSBTSG00005032635.1". The record is from RNAcentral. Lineage: Eukaryota; Metazoa; Arthropoda; Insecta; Hymenoptera; Apidae.